Podarcis muralis (Common wall lizard) is the source of this 1654-nucleotide non-coding RNA. NCBI's taxonomy places the organism in Eukaryota, Metazoa, Chordata, Lepidosauria, Squamata, Lacertidae. The record is from RefSeq and is a predicted model, not a curated record.
GAGUGAGGGCGGGGUCGACCCAUGUGGGCUGGGAACGCUCGUCACCCUCCAAGGGCUUCGUCGAACGGUGGGAGUUCAAAGACUGCCUGCUCCGCUCCGCCCCCGCUUUGUGAUUGGCUGAGAAGGGGUUCCACUCGUGCGAGGCGCCGGGCUGCGUUGCUGCUCUUUGGCUCGGAGGCAGUUGGGGAGAUGGCGGGCGUAGGCACUAGCGCGUUGCCUUCUUUUCGUCCUCCGGAAGGGAGGGGUGGCUCGCUGGCUCUUCGGCUCCUUUAAUGUUUCGAAACCUCAGUCAAAAUGGCUCGAAUAAAUGAAUAAUAGGAAUUGUAUGGUGUUUCGGGAUCUUUUUCUUCCGUUACUUUAGGGUUUGGCAAAUUGCCCUCCUUAUAAAGGCACCUCGUGGGCUAAAAGAAUCGGCAGAGCUCGAAGGAGUUUGGGGUUUCUUGGAAUAUGGAGGCACAGCAUUUGUCUCCAGUGUCCCUGCAUAGAUAGGCACAUGCCUGGCUAGCUUAAGACACUGCAUAGAGCCUCUAUUCUCAACAACGGUGGCUCUCGCGGGUAGAGAAUUAUUUUUGCAUAUUUGUAAAUGGAAUCUCUGCUAUUCUGUUGUUCUGCUCCUUUGGGCCUUUUGUCCUUCCCGUCUGUGCUGCUUUGUGGUUUAUAUUUCUUAUGCGUCGUCGUUUUUCUUUUGGUCAUGUCCACCACUCUUAACAAAAUCUAAUCUGAAAUGGUGGGAGCUGGAAUCAAUGGAAGUUUCUCAGGGAAUCAAGCCGGUAGCAUCAAGUUUUGCUACUUUUCAAGACGGCUGCUCACCCAGGGGGUGGGCGACUUUGUGUGGGUUUUUUAAUUUUGAUUUUUAGUUGUUUCGUUUUUUAUUAAGUGGGUUGUUGUUUUUUAUACUGUAAGCCACCCUGUGAUCAUCAGCUGAAGGGCGGCAUGUAAAUUUAAUAGGAAAAUAAAUAAAUUCCAUAGAUUAAUAAUAAGUAAUACUGUACCAACAGCCAUGGCUCUAACAUCAAGAUACAUGUAGCACCCAAUGUGUGGAAUGCACUUAGCUGUGUUAAAAUGUUUUAAAUACGUUUUUGUUUAAAUUGUUUGUUUUACUACUUUGCUACUGUCCGCUCUGGGUUCCUCUGGGAGGAGGGAACAGAAUAGAUAUGUAAUAAUUAAAUAAUAAGCAAACAAAAACCUCCAGCCUUUUCCCCACCCGUUUUGUAUUAACAUCCAGCCUGUUGAACAGUUCUGGCUACUUGAAAGCUUACUGACAAAAGUCAGUUGGUUGUAACAAUGCUGCAGACCGUACUGUGUGUGGCUUUUUGGUGGUUUUUCCUCUCUAAUGGAUCAACACAGCUACCUACAAUAGUUGUAUCUCUGCAAUGUCCACAAUAGCUGGCAAGACUGAGACUGAGAGAUAGGGACCCAGGGCGAGGUCGCACCCAGUGAACUUUGUGACUCAGUGGGGAUUUGUGAACCCUGGUCUUCCAAGUCCUCUUCCAGCACUACACCACACUGGUACCACCAGGCAUACAUAGCCUCCGGAGAUAUAUUCCAUGUUUCUUCGCUGACUGUUCGGUUUUCUUUCUUUUUUUCAGUAGCAUACAAGUCAAAAUGUACAUAUCUUAGUCUGUAUAUUUGCUUGAUAAAAUAAAUGAAUGUG